Long non-coding RNA from Papaver somniferum (opium poppy), 1835 nucleotides. RefSeq lists it as uncharacterized. The record is from RefSeq and is a predicted model, not a curated record. The transcript has 10 exons. NCBI's taxonomy places the organism in Eukaryota, Viridiplantae, Streptophyta, Magnoliopsida, Ranunculales, Papaveraceae.
CGAGCCAGAGAGGCGAAAACCAGAAACCUCCAACCUUCUCAGGUUCUUCCGUCGAUCUCUAGAUCAAACGUCAUUCUCUUCCAUUCUUUUGUGUUUUACCUCUUCCUUUUCUUUUAUUGAUAUCUGCUUGUCUUGUACAAAGCGAGAUAGAGAAAGUAGAAAUUAGGGUUUCAAUCUUUAUUAUAUGACAAAUCUGAAUCGAUGGCGAUUGAUGGAUUUCAGAGAAAUUAGGGUUUCAGUAGAUAGUCGAAUUCGGUGAAAAGGGUAUUGGUUCCUCAUUACUUCAAGAUGUAAGAUAGGGGUGUUGUGAUUGAUUGAUUCUGAUGCUCUGAAGAACAUAGGGUUCGAAUUCAGAUUUCUGCUGCUGAUUCAUGCGAGAAAGAGAUGAAGAACUGAAGAUUAAAUAGGGAUUUUGUUGGUGAUUGAGUUACAAAGAUGGGUUCAAUUGAUUUUAGGGGUUUCAACUGAUUUGAUUUCAACAAUUGAUGAUGAUUUAGGUUUGUAGAAGAUGGAUCUGUGGUGACUUAUGAGAAGAAGAAUUGGUAGUUUUAGGUUUGCAAUUUGGUCAUUGUCAUAUCAGGAUGGAGAAGACUAAUGAAGUCAUGGGCUAAGUUGAUUUGUAGGUGACUUGUGAGAUAAUUUGGUGUUGUCUUUACAGAGAAUGGUGUGAAUUUUGGAGACGGAUUUAUGGAGGAUGCGAAGAACAAAAACAUCGAAAUUAUGGGGAACAUUCUUUACAAGGCAUACCUCAAGGAUUUCUUUAAGUUCUGCCAGGACCAAUUGCAUUGAUUUCCUGGUAGAAUCUACAUGAAAGACAAGAGCAUAACUUCAGGUUGAACUGGGCUUCUUUAGUCUCGGGAGAUAACCGUCGGGAUGAUGGUGCUGACUUCAACUGGAUUCUCUCGCGGUUUCAGUUAUGUAACUUUUGCAGAGAUUGAGGAUGCGAAGGAAGAAAUGAGAGCACAUUCUAAGAAAGUAACAAGGAAUUUUGUGGCCAAAAUCUCAGACUGUAACAGAAGCAAUAUUUUGUAGUUAUUUUGAAACCUUGCGAGAUAACAGAUAUACAUGCCCAAGUUUGAGCUCAUAUAGAUGUUAAAGAGUGGUUCUGUUAUGUUACUGAUGGCUGAGUUAUGGUGGUUGUUUGGCUGUGAAUUGCUGGGAAUAGCAGAAUGAGUUGCAGCUGGGAUUGCAACUAGAUGAACAUUGCAGGGAAGUGAUUGAAGCUGCAGAAUGGAUGUGGUGAUAUUGUUGCAACUAGAUGAACAAUGAAGGAUGGUGCUCUUAAUGGAAUUGUGGAGUUGCUGCUGUGAGAUGGAUGGAGGAUAUGAAGGAUAAGAGGUGGUUCUGCUGAGAAGGGUCUAGAAGCAGGCAUUGCCCGGCCUACAGGGUUGUAGCUCAUUGGACACCGAACACUGGUAUGCAGUUAUGAGAUAAUGAACUCCCCUGAAAGGGCCUGCCACCUUGCAAAGAGUGCUUUUAAAGAAGCUAUAGUAAAGCUGGAUACUUGAGUGAAGAAUCUUAUAAAGACAGUAAUUGAUUAUGCAACUAUUGAGGGAUAAAGAUGAAAUUGCCAAGUGUUUUCUGAAUGAUGCUCUUUUUGAUUGGAAAGGCUGGAGAACAAAGCAGUUAUAAGGUCCCUUAGCAGCUUAAAGUUUUGUAAGUUCUAUGUAGACAGUUAGUAAGUUUCUAUCUUAUAAGUUCUAUGUAGACAGUAAGUUUCAAUGUAUUCCCUUAGAAAUUUGAUACUUAGGAAAAUUUCAGUUCUUUUUUUAUAUGAACCUGAUAUGAAUGGAUUGAAUGUGUGAAAUGAAUGUGAAAUGCAUUAAUUGAAGAAA